UCGAGAAUUUUUCACAAUGGGCGCAAGCCUGAUGGAGCGACGCCGCGUGGGGGAUGAAGGGUUUCGAUCCGUAAACCCCUGUCAUUUGCGAACAAACCUUGAUUGUGAAUAGCGAUCGAGCUGAUUGUAGCGGAAGAGGAAGGGACGGCUAACUCUGUGCCAGCAGCCGCGGUGAUACAGAGGUCCCAAGCGUUGUUCGGAUUCACUGGGCGUAAAGGGUGCGUAGGUGGUCGGUGAAGUUCGGUGUGAAAGCUCGGAGCUCAACUCCGAAACGGCAGUGAAAACUCAGCGGCUGGAGGGUCGGAGGGGAGACUGGAAUUCUCGGUGUAGCAGUGAAAUGCGUAGAUAUCGAGAGGAACACCAGCGGCGAAGGCGAGUCUCUGGACGACUCCUGACACUGAGGCACGAAAGCCAGGGGAGCAAACAG
Molecule: ribosomal RNA, 427 nt
Filed under: uncultured bacterium
Lineage: Bacteria
Description: bacterial SSU rRNA
Rfam family: Bacterial small subunit ribosomal RNA
Source: RNAcentral